This 283-nucleotide signal recognition particle RNA is filed under the name Chinchilla lanigera (long-tailed chinchilla). RNAcentral describes it as "Metazoan signal recognition particle RNA (ENSCLAG00000022026.1)". It matches the Rfam family "Metazoan signal recognition particle RNA". Rfam says of the family: The signal recognition particle (SRP) is a universally conserved ribonucleoprotein. It is involved in the co-translational targeting of proteins to membranes. Lineage: Eukaryota; Metazoa; Chordata; Mammalia; Rodentia; Chinchillidae. The record is from Rfam by way of RNAcentral.
GCCGGGCGCACUGGCGCGCCCCUGUAGUCCCAGCUACUUGGGAGGCUGAGCAGUGGGAGGAUUACUUGAGUCCAGGAGUUCUGGGCUGCAGUGCGCUAUGCCGAUGGGGUGUCUGCACUAAGUUCAGCAUCAAUAUGGUGACCUCCCGGGAGUGGGGGACCACCAGGUAGCCUAAGGAGGGGUGAACCGGCCUAGGUCGGAAAAGAAUGUAAUAAUAUACUGUUUUGCUUUAUGUUACUAUUUUGGAAGUGAAGUUCUUUCUAUAUGUUAAAACAGGAUACUU